This is a long non-coding RNA of Pan troglodytes (chimpanzee), 1911 nucleotides long. RefSeq lists it as uncharacterized. The record is from RefSeq and is a predicted model, not a curated record. The transcript has 3 exons. NCBI's taxonomy places the organism in Eukaryota, Metazoa, Chordata, Mammalia, Primates, Hominidae.
AAAGCCCUUCUUCACAAAGACAGGAUGUUGGAAAUGGCAGCAAGCUUUUCGAUGCACUUGUAUCAAUCUUAGGAUAUUCUGCCUUGACUUUAAUAUAGAAGGUUUUCUUUGAUGGCAGUUCUGCUCUAAAGAUGGAUAAAGAAGGAGGUUCCAAGAUGGCCGAAUAGGAACAGCUCCAGUCUACAGCUCCCAGCAUGAGCAACGCAGAAGACAGGGGAUUUCUGCAUUUCCAAUUGAGGAACGCAGCUCCUCGCCAGCAACAGAACAAAGCUGGACGGAGAACGACUUUGACGAGUUGAGAGAAGAAGGCUCCAGAAGAUCGGUAAUAACAAACUUCUCUGAGCUAAAGGAGGAUGUUCAAACCCAUUGCAAAGAAGCUAAAAACCUUGAAAAAAGAUUGGCUAACUAGAAUAAACAGUAUAGAGAAGACCUUAAAUGACUUGAUGUAGCUGAAAACUGUAGCACAAGAACUACAUGAUGCAUGCACAAGCUUCAGUAGCCGAUUCGAUCAACUGGAAGAAAGGGUAUCAGUGAUUGAAGAUCAAAUGAAUGAAAUGAAGUGAGAAGAGAAAUUUAGAGAAAAAAGAGUAAAUACAAAGAAAUGAACAAAUCCUCCAAGAAAUAUGGGACUAUGUGAAAAGACCAAAUCUACGUCUGAUUGGUAUACCUGAAAGUGACGGGGAGAAUGGAACCAAGUUGGAAAACACUCUGCAGGAUAUUAUCCAGGAGAACUUCCCCAACCUAGAAAGGCAGGCCAACAUUCAAAUUCAGGAAACACAGAGAAUGCCAAUAAGAUACUCCUCGAGAAGAGCAACUCCAAGACACAUAAUUGUCGGAUUCACCAAAGUUGAAAUGAAGGAAAAAAUGUUAAGCGCAGCCAGAGAGAAAUGUCAAGUUACCCACAAGGGGAAGCCCAUCAGACUAACAGUGGAUCUCUCAGCAGAAACUCUAGAAGCCAGAAGAGAGUGGGGGCCAAUAUUCAACAUUCUUAAAGGAAAGCAUUUUCAACCCAGAAUUUCAUAUCCAGCCAAACUAAGCUUCAUAAGUGAAGGAGAAAUAAAAUCCUUUACAGACAAGUAAAUGCUGAGAGAUUUUGUCAUCACCAGGCCUGCCCUAAAAGAGCUCCCGAAGGAAGCACUAAACAUGGAAAGGAACAAUUGGUACCAGCCACUGCAAAAACAUGCCAAAUUGUAAAGACCUUCGAGGCUAGGAAGAAACUGCAUCAAUUAAUGAGCAAAAUAACCAGCUAACAUCAUAAUGACAGGAUCAGAUUCACACAUAACAAUAUUAACCUUAAAUGUAAAUGGGCUAAAUGCUCCAAUUAAAAGACACAGACUGGCAAAUUGGAUAAAAAGUCAAGACCCAUCAGUGUGCUGUAUUCAGGAAACCCAUCUCACAUGCAGAAGACACACAUAGGCUCAAAAUAAAGGGAUGGAGGAAGAUCUACCAAGCAAAUGGAAAACAAAAAAGAAAGCAGUGGUUGCAAUCCUAGUCUCUGAUAAAACGGACUUUAAACCAACAAAGAUCAGAAGAGACAAAGCAGGCCAUUAUGUAAUGGUAAAGGGAUCAAUUCAACAAGAAGAGCUAACUAUCCUAAAUAUAUAUGCACCCAAUACAAGAGCACCCAGAUUCAUAAAGCAAGUUCUUAGAGACCUACAAAGAGACUUAGACUCCCACACAAUAAUAAUGGGAGACUUUAACACCCCACUGUCAACAUUAGACCGACCAAUGAGACAGAAAGUUAACAAGGAUAUCCAGGAAUUGAACUCAGCUCUGCACCAAGCAGACCUAAUAGACAUCUACAGAAUUCUCCACCCCAAAUCAACAGAAUAUACAUUCUUCUCAGCAUCACAUUGCACUUAUUCCAAAAUUGACCACAUAGUUGGAAGUAAAGCACUCCUCAGCAAAUGU